UGCAGUCGAGCGAAUGGAUUAAGAGCUUGCUCUUAUGAAGUUAGCGGCGGACGGGUGAGUAACACGUGGGUAACCUGCCCAUAAGACUGGGAUAACUCCGGGAAACCGGGGCUAAUACCGGAUAACAUUUUGCACCACAUGGUGCGAAAUUGAAAGGCGGCUUCGGCUGUCACUUAUGGAUGGACCCGCGUCGCAUUAGCUAGUUGGUGAGGUAACGGCUCACCAAGGCAACGAUGCGUAGCCGACCUGAGAGGGUGAUCGGCCACACUGGGACUGAGACACGGCCCAGACUCCUACGGGAGGCAGCAGUAGGGAAUCUUCCGCAAUGGACGAAAGUCUGACGGAGCAACGCCGCGUGAGUGAUGAAGGCUUUCGGGUCGUAAAACUCUGUUGUUAGGGAAGAACAAGUGCUAGUUGAAUAAGCUGGCACCUUGACGGUACCUAACCAGAAAGCCACGGCUAACUACGUGCCAGCAGCCGCGGUAAUACGUAGGUGGCAAGCGUUAUCCGGAAUUAUUGGGCGUAAAGCGCGCGCAGGUGGUUUCUUAAGUCUGAUGUGAAAGCCCACGGCUCAACCGUGGAGGGUCAUUGGAAACUGGGAGACUUGAGUGCAGAAGAGGAAAGUGGAAUUCCAUGUGUAGCGGUGAAAUGCGUAGAGAUAUGGAGGAACACCAGUGGCGAAGGCGACUUUCUGGUCUGUAACUGACACUG
This 711-nucleotide ribosomal RNA is filed under the name Bacillus sp. (in: firmicutes). RNAcentral's name for it is "bacterial SSU rRNA". It matches the Rfam family "Bacterial small subunit ribosomal RNA", at positions 56 to 748 of the family's 1533-position model. The record is from RNAcentral. Lineage: Bacteria; Bacillati; Bacillota; Bacilli; Caryophanales; Bacillaceae.